This 90-nucleotide transfer RNA is filed under the name Acetobacter sp. Its description in RNAcentral is "tRNA-Ser". It matches the Rfam family "tRNA". From Rfam's summary of the family: Transfer RNA (tRNA) molecules are approximately 80 nucleotides in length. Their secondary structure includes four short double-helical elements and three loops (D, anti-codon, and T loops). Lineage: Bacteria; Pseudomonadati; Pseudomonadota; Alphaproteobacteria; Acetobacterales; Acetobacteraceae. The record is from RNAcentral.
GGAGAGAUGCCAGAGCGGUCGAAUGGGGCGGUCUCGAAAACCGUUGUGCCCUUUAGGGUACCGAGGGUUCGAAUCCCUCUCUCUCCGCCA